RNAcentral lists this long non-coding RNA (143 nucleotides) under Cricetulus griseus (Chinese hamster). RNAcentral describes it as "lncRNA (ENSCGRG00000024169.1)". Lineage: Eukaryota; Metazoa; Chordata; Mammalia; Rodentia; Cricetidae. The record is from RNAcentral.
CCCAGCUCUGCCCCGAGGAAGGUAGCUCUGUGCUGAACACCAGGAGUGAACGCAAAUCAAAAUCAGUUUCCUCUCAGACACCUCCUAGACAAGAAUGGAAGGAGUUGGCACAACAUGAAACCUGGAUCCAUAAAUACAGUUGC